This 164-nucleotide small RNA is filed under the name Arabidopsis thaliana (thale cress). Its description in RNAcentral is "ATSL058260". The record is from RNAcentral. Lineage: Eukaryota; Viridiplantae; Streptophyta; Magnoliopsida; Brassicales; Brassicaceae.
AAAAGAUUGUUUUUUUACUUUUUUAUCGCAAAAGUCCUUAAAUCAAAAUCUCCUAACAUUAACAACCGCUUUUUGUUUUUCUACACAAAACUUCAAUUCGAAACUAAAGAGAACAUUCAAACGGGUGUGUGAAAUCCGUUUCUGUAGUAAAUUGAAUCAUUUAU